GAUCGGCCCGCGUCUGAUUAGGUAGUUGGUGGGGUAAUGGCCUACCAAGCCGACAAUCGGUAGCUGGUCUGAGAGGAUGAUCAGCCACACUGGGACUGAGAUACGGCCCAGACUCCUACGGGAGGCAGCAGUGGGGAAUAUUGGACAAUGGGGGCAACCCUGAUCCAGCAAUGCCGCGUGAGUGAUGAAGGCCUUAGGGUUGUAAAGCUCUUUUGUCGGGGACGAUGAUGACGGUACCCGGAGAAUAAGCCCCGGCUAACUUCGUGCCAGCAGCCGCGGUAAUACGAAGGGGGCGAGCGUUGUUCGGAAUUACUGGGCGUAAAGGGCGCGUAGGCGGCCGAUCAAGUUAGAUGUGAAAGUCCUGGGCUUAACCUGGGGACUGCAUUUGAUACUGAUUGGCUUGAAUCCGGGAGAGGAUAGCGGAAUUCCCAGUGUAGAGGUGAAAUUCGUAGAUAUUGGGAAGAACACCAGUGGCGAAGGCGGCUUUCUGGACCGGUAUUGACCCUGAGGCCCGAAAACGUGGGGAGCAAACAAGGAUUAGAUACCCUGGGUAUCCCCCCCCCUAAACGAUUAAAUGCUAAACCCCUGGGGAACAAGCCUCUUUGGUGUCCCCACCUAAACCCAUUUUAGCUUUCCCCCC
RNAcentral lists this ribosomal RNA (640 nucleotides) under uncultured Alphaproteobacteria bacterium. Its description in RNAcentral is "bacterial SSU rRNA". It matches the Rfam family "Bacterial small subunit ribosomal RNA", at positions 224 to 873 of the family's 1533-position model. Lineage: Bacteria; Pseudomonadati; Pseudomonadota; Alphaproteobacteria. The record is from RNAcentral.